AGUGAACGCUGGCGGUAGGCCUAACACAUGCAAGUCGAACGGCAGCACAGUAAGAGCUUGCUCUUACGGGUGGCGAGUGGCGGACGGGUGAGGAAUACAUCGGAAUCUACUUUUUCGUGGGGGAUAACGUAGGGAAACUUACGCUAAUACCGCAUACGACCUACGGGUGAAAGCAGGGGAUCUUCGGACCUUGCGCGAUUGAAUGAGCCGAUGUCGGAUUAGCUAGUUGGCGGGGUAAAGGCCCACCAAGGCGACGAUCCGUAGGUGGGCUGAGAGGAUGAUCAGCCACACUGGAACGGAGACACGGUCCAGACUCCUACGGGAGGCAGCAGUGGGGAAUAUUGGACAAUGGGCGCAAGCCUGAUCCAGCCAUACCGCGUGGGUGAAGAAGGCCUUCGGGUUGUAAAGCCCUUUUGUUGGGAAAGAAAAGCAGCAGGUUAAUACCCCGCUGUUCUGACGGUACCCAAAGAAUAAGCACCGGCUAACUUCGUG
RNAcentral lists this ribosomal RNA (492 nucleotides) under uncultured bacterium. Its description in RNAcentral is "partial 16S ribosomal RNA". It matches the Rfam family "Bacterial small subunit ribosomal RNA", at positions 29 to 507 of the family's 1533-position model. The record is from RNAcentral.